CAGGGCUUGGAUUGUGAUCUC
Molecule: microRNA, 21 nt
Filed under: Schmidtea mediterranea
Lineage: Eukaryota; Metazoa; Platyhelminthes; Tricladida; Dugesiidae
Description: sme-miR-753d-5p
Gene: sme-miR-753d-5p
Source: miRBase by way of RNAcentral